GCUGAUAGAGCUCAGUUGGGACAGUGUUAGACUGAUGAUCUAAAGAUCUCUGCUUCAAUCCCAGAUUUGGGCA
Molecule: transfer RNA, 73 nt
Filed under: Xenopus tropicalis (tropical clawed frog)
Lineage: Eukaryota; Metazoa; Chordata; Amphibia; Anura; Pipidae
Description: Xenopus (Silurana) tropicalis (western clawed frog) tRNA
Rfam family: tRNA
About the family: Transfer RNA (tRNA) molecules are approximately 80 nucleotides in length.
Source: Rfam by way of RNAcentral